AACUUAAUUAGUAACAUUAGAAUAUUAAAAGUUAUGUUCGUUUAAAUUUAAAAAAUUUGGCGGUGUUUUAGUCUAGUUAGAGGAACCUGUUUUAUAAACGAUACAACACGCAUUAUUUUACUUAUUUUAGUAGAUCAGUUUGUAUACCGUCAUUAUAAGAUAAUUUAAGAGAGAAUAUUAUUGAAAUCAUAUUAUUGAGUAUAUUAGAUCAAGGUGCAGCUUAUGAGUAAGUAAACAUGGGUUACAAUAAAAUUUAUUUAAUAUGAAUUAAAUGUUUAAAUAUGUUUAUGAAGGAGGAUUUAAUUGUAAGAGGAGAGUAGAGAGCUUUUCUGAUAAAAGCUCUAAAUUAUGUACAUAUCGCCCGU
This 365-nucleotide ribosomal RNA is filed under the name Lacunicambarus diogenes. RNAcentral describes it as "partial small subunit ribosomal RNA". Lineage: Eukaryota; Metazoa; Arthropoda; Malacostraca; Decapoda; Cambaridae. The record is from RNAcentral.